GGCCCAGUGACUCGAGUGAAGUCGUAACAAGGUAGCCGUACUGGAAGGUGUGGCUGGAUUACCUCCGUU
Molecule: ribosomal RNA, 69 nt
Filed under: Geranium palmatum
Lineage: Eukaryota; Viridiplantae; Streptophyta; Magnoliopsida; Geraniales; Geraniaceae
Description: 16S ribosomal RNA
Rfam family: Bacterial small subunit ribosomal RNA
Source: RNAcentral